RNAcentral lists this long non-coding RNA (394 nucleotides) under Cricetulus griseus (Chinese hamster). Its description in RNAcentral is "lncRNA (ENSCGRG00000026574.1)". Lineage: Eukaryota; Metazoa; Chordata; Mammalia; Rodentia; Cricetidae. The record is from RNAcentral.
UCAUAGUAACAGAAAAUGGGGGGACAUCACUUACCUUCCUCUGAGACCUCUGUAACCUCUGGCUGGACAGAGGACUUCAACCUGUCUGAAAGGGUCACUUGCUCUGAGGUAAGCCUGUUGCUGGGUUAUGAGGAGACUUGGACAGUCCUGAGCGUCUCACUACAGCGUAACUUGCCAGGCAUGUGAGAAGAUCCAUGAAGUGGCUCAUCAUGGCUCGGUGGGUAAAUGCACUUGAGGCUGAGGCUGAGACUGAGGGCCCUGAUUCCUGAGAUCCACACAAUGGAAGGAGAACAAAACCUCUCACACAGACACACAUACCAUGGUGACAUACAUAUCAUGGUGAACACACGAUGCAGACAAACACACACCAUCACACACACACACACACACACAC